RNAcentral lists this ribosomal RNA (5230 nucleotides) under Triticum aestivum (bread wheat). RNAcentral's name for it is "partial small subunit ribosomal RNA". Lineage: Eukaryota; Viridiplantae; Streptophyta; Magnoliopsida; Poales; Poaceae. The record is from RNAcentral.
CAAAGGAGAGUUAGAGAUGGUGGCGUACACUUUUUAGGAGGAGGUAACAGCGUAGGUAGGGAGCGCGCGGACGGUGGUGACAAGGGACGGUGGUAGACGGCGGCCGACCAAUCGCCGCCGAGAGGUGCGGGUACCGGAGACAAGAGAACUUCGGUCGCCGUCGCGACACAGGCGUAGUAGGCGCUAGAAGGAACCGCUCGCUGCAGGCGGAGGUCAAACGGGGAAGGAGGGCCACAUGGUUCGGCGUGUAGCUGCGCGGGUACAGGCGUGUGCAACACGCACGAGACCGGGUACAAGAUGGGUCCCCACGGAGGAGGACGAGACCUCAUCCGACGACGGUGCAAGGGAGGUGUACCAACGUAGGCACGUGAGCCUCCGCUACUGAGACAUAAAAAAGAGUACGAUACAACCAGCUCCUCAUGAACUGUUUCCAGACGUAGUUCUCUAACCUCAAUCGGUGUUCUUGAACUUUAACUAAGAUUGUUCCGACUACGUGGGAUACCGUACCACUUACGUGGAUGUGUGUGGUAGGUCCGAUAACUUAAGAGAUUUUUCUAUUGAACAACAAGGGUUCUUGGACCAAUUUCACUAGAUACAGUUAACCUCUAAAGUGUUCCUUAGCCACUUAAAGUCCUAGCUGACUCGUGCCUCACUGCGUCUCUCCCGUUGUUCCGUAUACUUCGUUGUUGUUCGGUCGUUCGAUCGUAUGUGUACUCUAUACCCAAACUAAACACUCACUAAGCUGUACAUAACGGGAAGUAUAACACGUCACUCAUUCCAUGUUAAUUAAGGAAUACCAUCAACCCUCGGGUUUCCAUCAAGGCUGUUGUCUGUACUCCAUCCUCUGGCUAGGGUGCCAGAAGGGGUGACGGGUUACAAAGUCUAGUUAUGGAAGUAUAUCGUCGUUAUACUUUUAUAGAUUUGUACGACAAAGUAUAUAACCACGAUCGUUCGCAUCCAUAGACAUAAUAGUUAUCAACGUAGACAUGAAACAUAUUAAUCAGUUAUAAAAGUAUAAAACCAAUAUAGUUAUACCACUUAUUUCGUACAACAAAAUACUUUUAAUCUAUCGACGAAAACGUGAAGUAUAGAUUCCCACAACAAGCUUACGAUUAUCAAAAUGUGAAAAUGAUUGAUAUAUAAACAAUACUGGCCGUAUAUGAUGUCGGGUCCGUCAAUCCCCGGACCGGGUCAAUAGAAUAGCAAUAAUCCCCGAAUCGGGUCAAUAGCAUAAACCUCUAAUAUAUUUGAGUACAUUCCUGAGCAAACUUCAAUUCGUCUUCGUUAGUAUAAACGAGCCGAAGGACUUCCCUCGGUCCUCUGGAUUGGGAUCGGCGGCGGAGGACGCGGGAGAGAGAGAGCGCUGCCGCGACCCCACGGCCGCUGGAGCGGAAGGAGGUGCGGUUCGGGGGAAGGUGGGGAUGUUGGAUGCUCGAUCUGGGUCAUCCUUGGGUCGAGGAUGGUUAGACCAUAGUCCACAGAGUCCAAGCUAGUACAGGCGCGGUGGCGGGUGGGGGAGGCAGGACGACGGCUAGCGGAGAAGCAGCGGCUACUGGUGGCGCCGGUUGUGCGGCAGGGACUGGCCCGGCCAGAGGACGCGGCGGACCUGCGGUGGGCGCGGGCGGGGCGGCACGAGUGGGGCUUCCUCUACUGCCGCCGCGAGGCGCUGGACUGAGUCCGCCAGGUCCCGUAGGCGUGGAAGGAGCGCUCCGUGAUACCCGACGUCGGCGGGUGGGAGCAGUGGUGGUAGUGCCCCGACGUCGUCGAGGGCACCUUCGGCGGUGGUGGCCGCUGGAGGCAGCGUAGGUAGUACGGCGACGGCGGCGGCGGUGGCCACUAGAGCCCCGGCCCGGAAGGCAGCUGCCGCGGGCCCCACGGGUAGGUUGUCCAGGCAAAAGGGGGCAGCGGUAGAGGCGAUGGCCGGACCGAGCGGCCCAGGUAGCUCGGUGAGAUGUGCUAUUGGAGUCCUGUCGGCGUACACGACAAUGGCUGCCGCGUCGGGGGCUGGCACGUCAAGCCGCCCAGGAGCCCACGACGCCCAGGGAUGCUAUCACACCUGCCCGGGGAAAAGGCACCGUCAUGAGACGUCGGCCGUGAGCCGCGCAGCGGGAGCGACAAGGCGCGCCUACUGUGUAUGGGCGGGCAGCAGGUGCGGGUCGGUGGCGGCUCUAAGAGGUUCGACCUCAAGUGCUGGAUGCUGCCGUGGCAGCUGGGGGACUUAACCGAGUUGGUUACGCUGGUUAAAAAGUCCCCCGUCGCGUGCGAACGCAGGCUGGCGUGGACCUAGCGGAGUAUAGUAGAUGCUCCGCGGCGGGUCUGCACCAUAAUGCGGGAGCUCGUCCUGCUCCCGCCGUACGGUGGUACACUUGCAAAGGCACUAGACACGGAGAACGCGAAGCCAGGCGGAUAUGCGCCCUCGGCAAACCGCCUCGAACCCGCGGAAAACAAGGAGUGGUGUCACGUUUUGAAGCGGCUGGCGAAGGUCCGUGACACCGAGCAGUCGCCCGACUCGAGAAGCAGCCGCCGGAUGGCCUGGUGUAGGUGCACCUGCACCUCUACGCGCCCGGUGUGCUGGAGGUCUACCGGUACAUGAUGCGGGCGCGCAAGCUCGCGACGCGCCACCGGUAGGUUGUCCGUAGUGGCGGGGCCCGGCGACCCGGCGGUGGGACCGGCCUUCAAGGGCGCGUUCCAGCCGGACGAGUCCGAAAGCGCCACGGGGAGCGGCGCUGGCGCCGCGCGGGUAAGGCGGCCGAGUGGGACCGGCUCGUUGAGCUCGCAGCGGCGGUUCCCGACACGAAGUUGACGCUGCUCGGGAUGCACGGGCCGGUGCAGACGGGCGCUGAGAAGAUGGACCUCCGACGCCUGAUGUAGCUCCUCCUGUGGCGGCGGCGGCUCGAGCCGCUGGACGGGUGGGGUCAACUGCGCCUCCUCCACAAACCGCGGGCAACUAGUGGAGCUCCUCAAAGCGUUCGCGAAGGGGCGGAAGGUCGAGCUCCUGCUCGACAAACACGUCCGCCCCUCUCUACAAUACUGGCCGUAUAUGAUGUCGGAUCCGUCAAUCCCCGGAUCGGGUCAUUAGAAUAGCAAUAAUCCCCGAAUCGGGUCAAUAGCAUAAACCUCUAAUAUAUUUGAGUACAUUCGUGAGCAAACUUCAAUUCGUCUUCGUUAGUAUAAACGAGCCGAAGGAUUCCCUCGGUCCUCUGGAUUGGGAUCGGCGGCGGAGGACGCGGUAGAGGGAGAGCGCUGCCGCGGGGUCGCAGCCGCUGGAGCGGAAGGAGGUGCGGUUCGGGGGAAGGUGGGGAUGUUGGAUGCUCGAUCUGGGUCAUCCUUGGGUCGAGGAUGGUUAUAAGGAAACUGUAAAGUAUAUCUGGAUAGACUCGGUUAUAAGAUUCGGAGUAUGGUAAGCUAAUUAAUCUGUUAUAUAAACAGCAUUCAGCAUUAACAGGACGAACUAAUGAUUAAAGUCUAAACAAGAAGGAAUGACACCCCCCGUAUAGAUAUAAGAUUCUUUGUAACCACAUGUACCAUCAAUAAAGAACUGUACCGAUAAUACAGAUCUAAAACCAAGAUACCAUGUAUUGUUUAAUCGAAGAACCAGAUGUAUUGAUUGAACGGCUCCCAAAACCGACACCUACAGCAAAUUCCACAUACGACGUUAGUAACACUCGUAACACAGAUGAUUGUAACAGUUCUCCCGAACGACUAAUGACCAACAAACUCGGUGGUCGCCGGACUCGAUAAGAGAAAACACGAUGACCUAUGAGUAAAUAGAUGUUUCUAUCACGAGCUCUCAUUUCUAGAGUCUCUAAAAUAAAGGGUAACGGAGACAGACUCGUCACUCAUCAGGAGAAGUGGAACCGGUUAAGACAUGACUAUAUCUCGUUCUAGAGACCUGCAUAGUUGACUUAAUGUAAGUGGACCUAUGAGAAGAUGGAGCGUCCACAUAGUUUAAAACGUGAGACCGUCAGAACUUUGGGGAGGAUGAAAAUUUACCUUUUUCUUUUAGAACGACAGUUUCGUUCGUAGUUAAAAAAAAAGACCGGUGUUGAUUCUGUUUAGGUUCUCGUGAGAAUGAGUGCACAGUACACACCAGAAGUCUGUUAACCUUGUUCCCUAGUGGAGACAAAGUUAACCAUCAAACGUUUCAGCAGGAUUAAUACGGAACCGUAAUUAGACCCUGUACGAAAAAAAUAACAAAAACUCCCUGACGAAAAAACCUAUUAUAAAGUUUGAGAAUCCGUUCGCUAGUCAUUAGAAAAAAAAUACCUCUACUAGUGAGUGACAAAAAAGGAACGAUACGAACGUUAUCCUUUUGGUGGAUGAAAAAAGAGGUUUUUAUUUCGUUUUUGAUGCCUACCUACCUAGACAGUCAGUGACUAACCCAAAGAUGUUGUAUUUGUUCACUUUAAACGACGAAAGUACGUUGCCUAGAACACACGAGAUUCUUCAAGUUCAACCUUUUUUUAUCUUGGUAUAACGAAAGAAGACACCAUCUACGUCUUACCUUCUCGUCCUCACUUUAACGUUAGUCUUCGAACCUUUUAAGUUGUUCUAAGACUCGUCCGUAGUAGUUUGCCACCUUUAGAGAAGAGAGGGUUGUUUGUUUAUUUUUGUGUGCGUGCGGGUCGAGCGAGAGUUUAGGUCAUGGUGGAUAAGAGAGGAGCCUUAUUAUUUAUUAUAUCUACAUCCGUGCUCAAAGACGUGCCCGCCGCACGGCGCGUAGGCGGACGAUCAUUAUGGAUAUUCGCCGAUUCGAUCUGACGAAUUAUGCUCCUCUAGAUAGAUUGGUUGUCGCAUGUUGUAAACUUUGUUGCGGCUAGUUACAACGAAGGAGGGUUGCUUUCUUUUAGAUUCCUUACGAUUUCUUUUCCAUUGUGACCCGUAGGUUCGACAACUAAACUAGGAUGAUACCUUGACCAUCGUUCUUUCUCUCCCGAACCUCCUCCUGGAACCUACCCAGCAGCUAGAAGACCUUCAAGAACUGCUGGAACUACCACGCGAGCCACUGGAGCAGGAACAGGUCCUUGCUGGGGAACCGCAGGAGACUGCUGUAGGUGGCGGCGGGGCUGUCCCGGGGGACGUCGCGGCGACGGCCGGACUCCCGGUGGCUGCUGCGCCCCCUGCGCCGGUUCGCCUCCACGGCAUCGUGGUCCAAGGAGCGGCGGCGGCGGUAAACCCACCCUACCCACGAAUCGAGGCCCUCCCCCCGUCUCCCCUAGCCUCCUUCGCA